Molecule: non-coding RNA, 125 nt
Organism: Triticum urartu
Lineage: Eukaryota; Viridiplantae; Streptophyta; Magnoliopsida; Poales; Poaceae
Source: Rfam
GAUCUACUCCCUCCGUCCGGAAAUACUUGUCGGAGGAAUGAAUGUAUUUAGAUGUAUUUUAGUUUUAGAUACAUCCAUUUUUAUCUAUUUCUUCAACGAGUAAUUCUGGACGAAGGGAGUAUAUA